Molecule: ribosomal RNA, 481 nt
Filed under: Streptococcus sanguinis
Lineage: Bacteria; Bacillati; Bacillota; Bacilli; Lactobacillales; Streptococcaceae
Description: bacterial SSU rRNA
Rfam family: Bacterial small subunit ribosomal RNA
Source: RNAcentral
GACGAACGCUGGCGGCGUGCCUAAUACAUGCAAGUAGAACGCUGAAGAGAGGAGCUUGCUCUUCUUGGAUGAGUUGCGAACGGGUGAGUAACGCGUAGGUAACCUGCCUGGUAGCGGGGGAUAACUAUUGGAAACGAUAGCUAAUACCGCAUGAUAUUAAUUAUCGCAUGAUAAUUAAUUGAAAGAUGCAAUUGCGUCACUACCAGAUGGACCUGCGUUGUAUUAGCUAGUUGGUGAGGUAACGGCUCACCAAGGCGACGAUACAUAGCCGACCUGAGAGGGUGAUCGGCCACACUGGGACUGAGACACGGCCCAGACUCCUACGGGAGGCAGCAGUAGGGAAUCUUCGGCAAUGGGGGGAACCCUGACCGAGCAACGCCGCGUGAGUGAAGAAGGUUUUCGGAUCGUAAAGCUCUGUUGUAAGAGAAGAACGGGUGUGAGAGUGGAAAGUUCACACUGGACGUAUCUACCAGAAAGGACG